Molecule: ribosomal RNA, 502 nt
Filed under: uncultured bacterium
Lineage: Bacteria
Description: bacterial SSU rRNA
Rfam family: Bacterial small subunit ribosomal RNA
Source: RNAcentral
GAUGAACGCUGGCGGCGUGCCUCAAACAUGCAAGUCGAGCGGGGCUAUGUAAUAUCGCAAGGUAGAACAUAGCCUAGCGGCGAACGGGUGAGUAACACGUGGGUAACCUGCCUGGAAGACAGGGAUAACGAUUCGAAAGGGUCGCUAAUACCUGAUAAUAUCCUUUCAUCGCAUGGUGAUAGGAAGAAAGGGGAAACCCGCUUUCAGAUGGGCCCGCGUCCCAUCAGCUAGUUGGUAAGGUAAAGGCUUACCAAGGCGACGACGGGUAGCCGGUCUGAGAGGAUGUACGGCCACACUGGGACUGAGAUACGGCCCAGACUCCUACGGGAGGCAGCAGUUGGGAAUCUUAGGCAAUGGACGAAAGUCUGACCUAGCGACGCCGCGUGAGGGAAGAAGGGCCUUCGGGUUGUAAACCUCUGUCAUGGGGGAAGAAGUAAGUGACGGUACCCCAAGAGGAAGCCCCUGCUAACUACGUGCCAGCAGCCGCGGUAAAAGUCUCUAU